UUUGAUCUUAGGUCGGGUUAGAGCACCCGCCCAAUUUAAGCAUAUAACUAAGCGGAGGAAGAGAAACCAACGAGGAUUCCCUUGGUAGCGGCGAGCGAACCGGGAAUAGCCCAGACUGAAAAUCCGGGGGCUUUGUUGCUCCCUGAAUUGUAGUCUUGAGAGGCAACCUUUGCAGUGGGCCAUGUGCAGUUUCCCUGGAAGGGGAUGCCGAAGAGGGUGACAGCCCCGUGGACUGCCGGACCCUGCUGCGCAGCGAGGUGUUGUCCAAGAGUUAGGUUGCUUGGGAAUGCAGGCCCAAUUGGGUGGUAAGUCCCAUCCAAGGCUAAAUAUGUGGGAGGGACCGAUAGCAAAGAAGUACCGUGAGGGAAGGAUGAAAAUAACUUUGAAAAGGGAGUUAAAGAGUGCUUGAAAUUGUGGAGCGUGAAGCGAAUGGAGGGAAGUCGUGCAUUCCCGUCUGGGCAGGGUGGACAGCGACUGUGUUGUCGCCCCUCUUGUUGGGCGUGGGGUGCCUGCCAGCAUGGGCURCUGUGACCGGCAUUGCGGUGGGGAGCGAUUGAAACCCCCCACGGGUGGCCGCCACGGCAGUCGAGGACCUUGAGCACGCGCCUCUUUCGGCGGGCCCAUUCGGUUCCUGCGUGUUCAGGACGCUGGAGAAAUUACUUUAUCCUACCCUUUUUGAAACACGGACCGAGGAGUUCGACGUGGAUGCGAGCCGGUGGGUGAUUAGCCCGCGAGGCAGAAGAAACCUGAGUGGCCAGAACCGUCUGCGGGUGCACCGUCCGCCAAGCACGAUCUGCUGUGAGAGGUUUGAGUGUGAGCAUGCCCGUUGGGACCCGAAAGACGGUGAACUAUGCCUGAACAGGGCAAGGCCAGAGGAAACUCUGGUGGAGGCUCUCAGCGAUACUGAUGUGCAAUCGUUCGUCGGACUUGGGUAUAGGGGCGAAAGACUAAUCGAACCGUCUAGUAGCUGGUUCCCUCCGAAGUUUCCCUCAGGAUAGUUGGAGUUGUUGAACAGUUUUAUUGGGUAAAGCGAAUGAUUAAAGGCCUCGGGGGUGAAACACUCUCGACCUAUUCAAAAAUGAAGCGCGCCACCUAUGCUCAGUCGUCGUGGCGAUUCUGACGCUGCGACGAGUAGGAGGGCGUAGGGCCUGCUGCGAAGCGUGGAGCGUGAGCCUAGGUGAAGCGGGUCCCGUUGCAGAUCUUGGUGCUAGUAGCAAAUAUUCAAAUAAGAACUUUGAAGACCGAAGUGGAGAAGGGUUCCAUGUGAACAGCGCUUGGACAUGGGUCASUCGGCCCUAAGAGAUGUGGAAACCUUGUAUCAAGGGUGCACUGUGUGCCGCACAUCGAAAGGGGGUCCUGUUAAUAUUCCCGAACCGGGUUGUGGAGGUCCACGGUAACGAAAGCAGCUUCGGAGAUGCUGGCGGGGGCCGUGGGGAGGGUUCUCUUUCCUUCUUGAUGGCUCACCCACCCUGGAAUCGGAUCAACCGGAGAGUGCGUGGGCAAAGCACCGCGCGUCCUGUGGUGUCUAACGCGGCCCCGACGACCCUUGAAAAUCUGGUCCUGCGGGUACCUCUCAAGCCCGGCUAUACUCAUAACCGCACUAGGUCUCCUAGGUAAGCAGCCUCCGGUCAAAGGAAGAAUGUAGGUAAGGGAAGUCGGCAAUAUGGAUCCGUAACCUUGGGAAAAGGAUUGGCUCUGAGGGCUGCGCCUAAGGGUCUGCGCCUCGAUGUCGUUGGCUGCCAGUGGUCUGCUCGAGCUGCUCUCAAGGCGAGGGCGGAGCUCACGUGCCAAUGUGCCGACGGGUGUAGAAUGUCUUAUGUCCCCACCUUUCAGGUGGGACCGUGAGACUCUCCCUAAGCAUAAAACUGCCGACUCAGAACUUGUGCGGACAAGGAAAUCUGAAUGAUUAAUUAAAUCAAAGCAUUGCGAUGGUCCCAACGGAUGUUGACGCAAUGUGAUUUCUGCCCAGUUCUCUGAAUGUCAAAGUGUAGAGAUUCAACCAAGUGCGGGUAAACGGCGAGAGUAACUAUGACUCUUUUAAGGUAGCCAAAUGCCUCGUUAUCUAAUUAGUGACGCGCAUGAAUGGAUUAAUGAGAUUCCCGUUGUCACUAUCUAGUAUUCUACAAAACCACUACCAAGGGAACGGGCUUGGAAGAAUCGGCGGGGAAAGAAGACCCUGUUGAGCUGGACUCUAGUUCAACUCUGUGAAAUGACUUGAGAGGUGUAGAAUAAGUGGGAGCUUUACGGUGCAAGUGAAAUACCACUACUUUUAACGUUAUUUUACUUAUUUCGUGAGGUGGAGUUAGGGCUCUGCCCCUGCUUCUCGAUCGAAGGUGCAGACCCUCGUGGCCUGUCGAAUCCAAGCGAAAGACAUUGUCAGGUGGGGAGUUCGGCUGGGGCGGCACAUCUGUUAGAAGAUAACGAAGGUGUCCUACAAUGAGCUCAACGAGAACGAAAAUCUCGUGUGGAGCAAAAGAGCAAAAGCUCAUUUGAUUUUGAUUUCCAGUAUGGAGUGUUUAAACCGUUGAGGAACAAAAGGUUAAAAUACGGGUUGAAACUUUAAAUAGGUAAGUGUAGGUUGUGGUCUGAAUGACUAAGGGUCAACAUACUCAAGCACAAAUUGUAGGCUAUAGGUGCUGAAUUGUACUACUGGACAACAGGGAAUAAGUAUAAGGCUUCCUGCACAUCGGGCCCUCGAGAUGCCCUCUGUC
Molecule: ribosomal RNA, 2711 nt
Filed under: Chara braunii
Lineage: Eukaryota; Viridiplantae; Streptophyta; Charophyceae; Charales; Characeae
Description: eukaryotic LSU rRNA
Source: RNAcentral